RNAcentral lists this small nuclear RNA (187 nucleotides) under Crocodylus porosus (Australian saltwater crocodile). RNAcentral's name for it is "U1 spliceosomal RNA (ENSCPRG00005007352.1)". Lineage: Eukaryota; Metazoa; Chordata; Crocodylia; Crocodylidae. The record is from RNAcentral.
CUAGCAGGUGAGAUACCACAAUCAAAAAGGUGGUUUGACCCCUGCGAUUUUCUCAGAACAAUUCUCCCACGGUGAGACCUAUCCAUUACACUCUAGGCAGACUGACCCCCCUGAGUUUCCCCAAAUACGGUUAACUUGGCUGCACCAUUUUGUGGCAGUGGGGGACCUGUGUCCAUACUUCCCCCAU